This 253-nucleotide ribosomal RNA is filed under the name uncultured Verrucomicrobium sp. RNAcentral's name for it is "partial 16S ribosomal RNA". It matches the Rfam family "Bacterial small subunit ribosomal RNA", at positions 524 to 776 of the family's 1533-position model. Lineage: Bacteria; Pseudomonadati; Verrucomicrobiota; Verrucomicrobiia; Verrucomicrobiales; Verrucomicrobiaceae. The record is from RNAcentral.
UACAGAGGUCUCAAGCGUUGUUCGGAAUUACUGGGCGUAAAGGGUGCGUAGGCUGCGUGGAAAGUCAAAUGUGAAAUACGAAAGCUCAACUUUCGAAAUGCAUCCGAUACUACCACGCUAGAGAUCUAAAGGGGAGCUUGGAACUCUCGGUGUAGCAGUGAAAUGCGUAGAUAUCGAGAAGAACACUUGUGGCGAAAGCGAAGCUCUGGUUAGAAUCUGACGCUGAGGCACGAAGGCUAGGGUAGCAAACGGG